AAGGUGAGGAACAUGAACACCAGUUACAUUAUAAACUUUCCUGUGUUACAAACUUAUAUAUUUGAUGAGAGAAGGAAUUAGAUUCAUGAAAAUAUUAAUCAUUUUAAGGUUAGUAGUACUUAUUGGCUGUUCUUGCAAAACCAAUGGUAAAGUAUGUGAUGAAACCAUUAGAACUUUUUGAUUCAAGCAUCUGAGUGUUCUAUCAGAGGGUUAGAGCCAAUCUAAGUUAAGAACUAUAUUUGGGGUCUCAUCACAUUACCAUUGGUUUCAAAAGAACAGUGAGAAGUCCUAUUCACCGUAUACAGAUUGGUCUUUUCAGGAAUCUAACUCACUCUCUGAUCAACUAUCUAGCCUUGAAAUACAGGCAUGUUUUUCUGUACCUGGUGUUCAUGUUGGUCUCACCC
This is a non-coding RNA of Arabidopsis thaliana (thale cress), 404 nucleotides long. NCBI's taxonomy places the organism in Eukaryota, Viridiplantae, Streptophyta, Magnoliopsida, Brassicales, Brassicaceae. The record is from RefSeq.